Molecule: ribosomal RNA, 464 nt
Filed under: uncultured bacterium
Lineage: Bacteria
Description: partial 16S ribosomal RNA
Rfam family: Bacterial small subunit ribosomal RNA
Source: RNAcentral
GACGAACGCUGGCGGCGUGCUUAACACAUGCAAGUCGAACGGAAAGGCCCUGCUUGCAGGGUACUCGAGUGGCGAACGGGUGAGUAACACGUGGGUGAUCUGCCCUGCACUUCGGGAUAAGCCUGGGAAACUGGGUCUAAUACCGGAUAGGAGCCAUUUUUAGUGUGAUGGUUGGAAAGUUUUUUCGGUGUAGGAUGAGCUCGCGGCCUAUCAGCUUGUUGGUGGGGUAAUGGCCUACCAAGGCGGCGACGGGUAGCCGGCCUGAGAGGGUGGACGGCCACAGUGGGACUGAGAUCCGGCCCAGACUCCUACGGGAGGCAGCAGGGGGGAAUAUUGCACAAUGGGCGCAAGCCUGAUGCAGGGACGCCGCGUGGGGGAUGACGGCCUUCGGGUUUUAAACUCCUUUCGCUGGGGACGAAGCUUUUGGGGCCGGGACCUAGAUAAGAAGCCCCGGCUAACUCCGU